Molecule: ribosomal RNA, 253 nt
Filed under: uncultured bacterium
Lineage: Bacteria
Description: partial 16S ribosomal RNA
Rfam family: Bacterial small subunit ribosomal RNA
Source: RNAcentral
UACGAAGGGGGCUAGCGUUGCUCGGAAUCACUGGGCGUAAAGGGUGCGUAGGCGGGUUUUUAAGUCAGGGGUGAAAUCCUGGAGCUCAACUCCAGAACUGCCUUUGAUACUGAAGAUCUUGAGUUCGGGAGAGGUGAGUGGAACUGCGAGUGUAGAGGUGAAAUUCGUAGAUAUUCGCAAGAACACCAGUGGCGAAGGCGGCUCACUGGCCCGAUACUGACGCUGAGGCGCGAAAGCGUGGGGAGCAAACAGG